RNAcentral lists this ribosomal RNA (610 nucleotides) under Enterobacter cloacae. RNAcentral describes it as "bacterial SSU rRNA". It matches the Rfam family "Bacterial small subunit ribosomal RNA", at positions 558 to 1167 of the family's 1533-position model. The record is from RNAcentral. Lineage: Bacteria; Pseudomonadati; Pseudomonadota; Gammaproteobacteria; Enterobacterales; Enterobacteriaceae.
GCGUAAAGCGCACGCAGGGCGGUCUGUCAAGUCGGAUGUGAAAUCCCCGGGCUCAACCUGGGAACUGCAUUCGAAACUGGCAGGCUAGAGUCUUGUAGAGGGGGGUAGAAUUCCAGGUGUAGCGGUGAAAUGCGUAGAGAUCUGGAGGAAUACCGGUGGCGAAGGCGGCCCCCUGGACAAAGACUGACGCUCAGGUGCGAAAGCGUGGGGAGCAAACAGGAUUAGAUACCCUGGUAGUCCACGCCGUAAACGAUGUCGACUUGGAGGUUGUGCCCUUGAGGCGUGGCUUCCGGAGCUAACGCGUUAAGUCGACCGCCUGGGGAGUACGGCCGCAAGGUUAAAACUCAAAUGAAUUGACGGGGGCCCGCACAAGCGGUGGAGCAUGUGGUUUAAUUCGAUGCAACGCGAAGAACCUUACCUACUCUUGACAUCCAGAGAACUUAGCAGAGAUGCUUUGGUGCCUUCGGGAACUCUGAGACAGGUGCUGCAUGGCUGUCGUCAGCUCGUGUUGUGAAAUGUUGGGUUAAGUCCCGCAACGAGCGCAACCCUUAUCCUUUGUUGCCAGCGGUUAGGCCGGGAACUCAAAGGAGACUGCCAGUGAUAAACUGGA